GUGGGGAAUUUUGGACAAUGGGCGCAAGCCUGAUCCAGCAAUGCCGCGUGCAGGAAGAAGGCCUUCGGGUUGUAAACUGCUUUUGUACGGAACGAAAAGGCUCUGGUUAAUACCUGGGGCUCAUGACGGUACCGUAAGAAUAAGCACCGGCUAACUACGUGCCAGCAGCCGCGGUAAUACGUAGGGUGCAAGCGUUAAUCGGAAUUACUGGGCGUAAAGCGUGCGCAGGCGGUUUUGUAAGACAGAGGUGAAAUCCCCGGGCUCAACCUGGGAAUUGCCUUUGGGACUGCAAGGCUGGAGUGCGGCAGAGGGGGAUGGAAUUCCGCGUGUAGCAGUGAAAUGCGUAGAUAUGCGGAGGAACACCGAUGGCGAAGGCAAUCCCCUGGGCCUGCACUGACGCUCAUGCACGAAAGCGUGGGGAGCAAACAGGAUUAGAUACCCGAGUAGUCC
Molecule: ribosomal RNA, 450 nt
Filed under: uncultured bacterium
Lineage: Bacteria
Description: partial 16S ribosomal RNA
Rfam family: Bacterial small subunit ribosomal RNA
Source: RNAcentral